Molecule: unclassified non-coding RNA, 334 nt
Filed under: soil metagenome
Description: partial contains 5.8S ribosomal RNA, internal transcribed spacer 2, and large subunit ribosomal RNA
Rfam family: 5.8S ribosomal RNA (bases 1-120)
Source: RNAcentral
GAUGAAGAACGCAGCGAAAUGCGAUAAGUAAUGUGAAUUGCAGAAUUCAGUGAAUCAUCGAAUCUUUGAACGCACAUUGCGCCCGCCAGUAUUCUGGCGGGCAUGCCUGUUCGAGCGUCAUUUCAACCAUCAAGCCCCCGGCUUGUGUUGGGGACCUGCGGCUGCCGCAGGCCCUGAAAACCAGUGGCGGGCUCGCUAGUCACUCCGAGCGUAGUAAUACAUCUCGCUCAGGGCGUGCUGCGGGUUCCGGCCGUUAAAAAGCCUUAUUUACCCAAGGUUGACCUCGGAUCAGGUAGGAAGACCAGCUGAACUUAAGCAUAUCAAUAACGGAGGA